Molecule: unclassified non-coding RNA, 215 nt
Filed under: fungal sp.
Lineage: Eukaryota; Fungi
Also listed under: 1 other name
Description: partial contains small subunit ribosomal RNA, internal transcribed spacer 1, and 5.8S ribosomal RNA
Rfam family: Eukaryotic small subunit ribosomal RNA (bases 1-46)
Source: RNAcentral
AAGUCGUAACAAGGUCUCCGUAGGUGAACCUGCGGAGGGAUCAUUACAGAGUUUUUAACUCCUAAAACCAUGUGAACUUACCACUGUUGCCUCGGUGGAAGGUGCCCGAAAGGGUGCUGGAAGCCGGCGGACAUCUAAACUCUUGUUAAUUUUUGUUAUUCUGAAUCAAACUAAGAAAUAAGUUAAAACUUUCAACAACGGAUCUCUUGGUUCUG